AGUGAACGCUGGCGGUAGGCCUAACACAUGCAAGUCGAACGGCAGCACAGUAAGAGCUUGCUCUUACGGGUGGCGAGUGGCGGAAGGGUGAGGAAUACAUCGGAAUCUACUUUUUCGUGGGGGAUAACGUAGGGAAACUUACGCUAAUACCGCAUACGACCUACGGGUGAAAGCAGGGGAUCUUCGGACCUUGCGCGAUUGAAUGAGCCGAUGUCGGAUUAGCUAGUUGGCGGGGUAAAGGCCCACCAAGGCGACGAUCCGUAGCUGGUCUGAGAGGAUGAUGAGCCACACUGGAACUGAGACGCGGUACAGACUCCUACGGGAGGCAGAAGUGGGGAAGAUUGGACGAUGGGCGGAAGCCUGAUCCAGGCAUACCGCGUGGGUGAAGCAGGCCUUCGGGUUGUAAAGCCCUUUUGUUGGGGAAGAAAAGCAGCAGGUUAAUACCCCGCUGUUCUGACGGUACCCAAAGAAUAAGCACCGGCUAACUUCGUG
This 492-nucleotide ribosomal RNA is filed under the name uncultured bacterium. Its description in RNAcentral is "partial 16S ribosomal RNA". It matches the Rfam family "Bacterial small subunit ribosomal RNA", at positions 29 to 507 of the family's 1533-position model. The record is from RNAcentral.